This 73-nucleotide transfer RNA is filed under the name Stenocercus rhodomelas. RNAcentral's name for it is "tRNA-Tyr". Lineage: Eukaryota; Metazoa; Chordata; Lepidosauria; Squamata; Tropiduridae. The record is from RNAcentral.
CUGGUAAAAAGAAGACUUGAACUUCCGUUAACAGAUUUACAGUCUGCCGCCUACCCUCUCGGCCACUUUACCU